This 11335-nucleotide long non-coding RNA is filed under the name Gossypium barbadense (sea-island cotton). RNAcentral's name for it is "long non-coding RNA (GBAR_LNC002825)". Lineage: Eukaryota; Viridiplantae; Streptophyta; Magnoliopsida; Malvales; Malvaceae. The record is from RNAcentral.
GAAAUUAGUUUUUGGAGAGGAAUUUUUGGAGAGGCUAAGAUUUGGAGAGAUUAAUUAAAGAUCAAAGUAAAAGAGGUUUUUUUUGUCUAUUCUCGUUUUAAGUUCUUUGUUUGUUUAUUGUUUUUCUUUCAAUUUUAUUUUGUUUUUUAUACGAAAGUAAAAAUAAAAGUAAGAAGCUUACUCAUAUUUUCAUUACUGAAAAAGUUUUUUUUGAGGCCCGACCGCCGUGUACGGUGGCACCGACGACGGCCUGUGGGGGUCCGGGACCGGAGCAAAGCCGGACUGAUGGCCGGAUUUAGAAGGGAGGGGGAGAGUGUUAUUUUUAAUAUUGUUAUUAUUUUCUAUUAUUAUUAUUACUAAUACCACUAUUAUCAUCAUUAUUACUAUUAUAUUAUAAUACCUUUUCAUUAUUAUUACUAUUGUGUUUUUACUAUUAUUAUUAUAUUUUCCUUUUUUGUAUUUACUUAUACGUUAUUAUUUUUUACAUUAACUAAUUUAAUAAAUAUAUAUUUUUUAGCAUAUUUAUUUUAUUUACAUAUCAUUACUCUUAUUAUUAUUAUUUCAUCAUCUAUUCUAUUUAUAAUUUUUUAAAUAAUUUCAAACAUUUAGCUUAUUCAUUAUUUCCCUUUUUUAUUAUUUGUUUGACGCAUUUAUCUUACCUUCGUAUUUAUCGUUAUUAUUCAUAUUUGUGUUUAUGUUUAUCUUGUUAUGGUUAUUGAUUUUUAUUUGUUAUGCAUUCUUUAUUAUCUCGUUCCAUCACGAAUUUAGGUUUUAUCUAACCCAAUAAUAAUUCUUUCAUAAAAGUAAAUAUUCUGUAUUUGGUAAUUCGAGAUAAUCGUGCCCUAACUUACUAGGUUUUGACUUUUUUCAUUUAACCUAAAUACGGAAUACUCUUUUAAAUCGCAAUACGAGUUUUGAAAAAUCCUUAUUCUCGGAGAUACGAGGUGUUGUGCCUUAACUUACCGAGUAUGACAUUCUGUUAUCUCGAGAUAAGAUUUUUGCUAACAAAGGCAAUAUUCGGCAUUUGAAAAUUCGAGAUAUCGUGCCCUAACUUACUGGGUUUCAAUUUUUCUCGUUUACACUAAAUGAUCGAAUACCCUUUUAAAAAGGGUUAAAACACAUGAAUUUCAAAUAAAGGCAAGCUCAUUCUCAAAGUUCGAAAUGCCGUGUCCUAACUUAUUGGGCGUGACGUUUUAUUACUUUGAGAUGAGGGAGCCCUUAACAUCCGUUUUAAUUUAUUCAAUCAUUUUUAAAUUAGCAUUAAUACAAAGAAGGAUCGUAUUUUAAAUUCUUUCAAGUUUUCAAAUUUUCGACACUAAGACACUAAUUAAUCAACUAGGUACCAAUUUUGGGCGUAUUGAGGGUGCUAACCCUUCCUCGUGCGUAACCGACUCCCAAACCUGUUUUCUUAAUUUGCGUAGACCAAAACCGUUGUUAAAAUAAAUCAAACUAUUUAUUAAAAACAACCACUUUACUAGGUGACCCGAUCACACCUCAUCAAAAAGGAUUGGCGGCGACUCCUCUAAUCGUUUUCAUUUUCAAAAUCUAAGUCGAUCCCCGUUUUUCAAAAAAAAAGGUUUCGACACUAUGCACGAAUAUUAAUAAAAUAUAUUAUGAUAUAUUAUAGAUUUUAUUAAUUUGUAAUUCAACAAUUUUUUAAUAUUAAAAUAUAAAAAAUUAACUUUAAAAUUUCAAUUUAAAAAAAAUCAUUCCAAGUGUUUUAAUUUUAAAACAUACUAAUUUAAAAAAAACUAUUUUAAAAUUGAAAUAUUUAAAAAAUAAUAAUAUUUUAAGAAAACAUUAUUUAAAAAAAUAUUUAUGGUAUUACAAUAUUUAUUUAAUUUAAUAUAUAAUUACAAUUACAAUAUUUAUUUGAUAUACGAUUUAAAAAUAUUUAAAUAAUGAAAAAUGUCCCUUAAAUUAUAUUGAAAAAUAAAUGAAUAAAUGAAGACAUGAAAUCAUUUUUGUGAAAAUUGUUUCAUGAUCUACAAGGGCGAAUUUGGGGGUAGUAGGUGCCCGGUCCCCCUCAAAUAAAAAAAUUUGACCCUUUAAAAUUUUUAAAAUUUUAAAUCAAUAAAGGUAAAAUUAUACUUUGGCUCUUGUAAAAAUGAUAAAAUUUUGAUUUAAUAUUUUAAAUAUUACAUUUUUACUAUCGUAAAAAUUAUAAUUUAAUUUCGAUCCUUUUAAAAUUUUUUUUUGACUUCACCCCUGAUGAUCUACUUAAUAAUAGCCCUUAAAACAAUGAGUUAAAUUUUUUUUUUUACAUUCUCAUUAUAAAUUUUAAGAAAUUUUUUUAUGUUAUAAAAAUUUUUAUUUUAUUUAAAAACAGUAAUAUAUAUAAUAUGGCUAGAAAGUAAAGUCUGAAUACACUUUUUUUGUUUUUAACCAACAUUAUAUAACUGCUAAAUAUCAUUUAAUUAGAAGGUGUAAUUCGAUAAGAAUCGUUUACCUUACAGUUACAUUCGUUAAAAAAAAAUUGUUUCAACCAAUUAAAAAGUAUCACAUCGGUAUUUUUAAAAACUUUUUUUGACAAAAUAAAAGUUUAAACUUAUGGUUAGACCUAUUAAUGGGCUGAACUACUCGUCUUGUCUUGAAGGUAGAGUGUUCAAUUGGUUAACCAACCCGAACUAGCAUUAACCGAAUUAACUGGCUCUUUUGAACCCUUAUCCGUUAAGCGAAUCGAAAUUUUUUUAAAAAAAUUUAACCGAACCGACCUUUUUUGGUUAAUUUGGUCGGUUAACCGAAAUUUAUAUGUUUAUUGAUUUUUGGUUAAAACAAGUAUAAAACAUAUAAAAAAUUAACCGAUGGAUCAACUUUAGUUAGUAAAAAACUUCAAUCACCGAAUUGCACAAAAUUCUAACUUAAAUUCAAAUGCAGCAAUCAGAAUUAACAAUUAAAAAUCAGAACUCACCGGAAUGUCUACUCUUUUUGAUUUGAACAAACUCUACAAUCACUCAUUGCUCAUGGUCAUCAAUGUGACAGCCCUAAUUUGACCCUAGUCGGGAAGUGGUUUUGGGACCACAAAAUCGAGUCACAAAAAUAAUUAAAUGUUAAAUUCUAUGCCUAUUAUAAGUGAAAGUGUAUGUGUGAAAAUUUCAUGCUUUGAUUUUGUCAUUUGAAUGUGAAAUUAAUUAAAAAGGACUUAUGUGAAAAAUAUUGAAAUUGUGAUAGGUUGAAGUGUAGUGGUCAAAUAUUGCAUGGCUUAAAAUAUGGGGAUUUGCAUGUCAAAUUCCCCAUUUUUAUGUAAGCGGCCGGCCAUGAUGAUGGUUGAAUAGCCAUAUAUGCAUUAUAUAUUAUAUUAUAAUAGUUAAUGGUUUAAAUUAUGAAAAAAAAAGGGAAGCCAUACAUCCUUGUCUUGUUCUUGCCAAAUGUUGAGAAAGAAAGAAGAAAUAUAAUUAUUAAAUGAUUUUUGGCCACUAUAUAGGUAAGUGGACGGUAAUGGACCACCAUUAAAAGGUUUUGAUAUUAAAUUACAAAGAUUAAUUUAGUAAUUGGCUUAUUAAAAUGAAAUAUAAUAAAACAAAGCCACAUUAGAGUUCAUCUUUUCUUCAUUCUUUCCAACAGACAAUAAGUGAGAAAAGGAGAUUAUGGGCAGUUUAUGGGUUAUUUAUUACAACAAGAGAAAAAGAUGAUAAUAAUGCUGAUUAAUGUUGUUUAUUAAAGAGUAUCUUAAUGCUAUCCAAAUAUGUAAUCUUUGUAACUUUAAGUUUCAUGAACAAAUAUAAAUUCCUAUUGUAUUCAUGUUGCCCAAAUUGAAACGAAUUGGAUAAUGGUUGUGUUUGUGUUGACCAUUUUUGAGUAAUAAAGAUGUUUUUAUUUAUUUGUAAUUAAAUGAUAGGAUGGUUUGAGUUUGAACUUGAUUUGAUAUUUGAGUUAGUUAAUAUAUAUUGAUUUAUUAUUAUUUUUUAAUUGUGAAAUAAAUAGAUCGGUUAUAAGCCAGGGAUAAGAGAAGGUCGUGGAAUAAUCAUCUCUGACUUGAGGUAAGUUCACAUGCAAUAAGCAUUGUUAAAUUUAUGUUUCUAAUGCUUUAAUAUCGUAUAAAUUGUAUAUACAUGAAUAUUUUAAUGUCUGACGACAUAUCGACAAAAUGUGGCAUUUAGUGUGAAGGGUAAUCAAAUAUGGUACUCAGUGUACGAAAUAUUGAGAAUGACACUUAGUGUGCGAGAUAUUGAGAAUGACAUUUAGUGUGUAAAAUAUCGAAUGAUUCAAAGGGCAAUUAUAAAUUGUGAUUUGAAUGACUAAAUAGAGCAAAGUGAACAUGUAUGCAUGCUAUAUUAUAUGAAUUGUUUAUGAGACGACUUUAUAAUGGUGAUAUUCGGGCUUUGAGCCUAACAAGCUUUAAACUGGUGAAUAAUAUUAUCGGGCUUUGGGCCUAGCAGGCUAUAAUGCUGGUGAAAUGAUAUCGGGCUUCAAGCCUAGCAGGCGAAAUGUCGGUGAAUGAGUUCAGACUUAAAGUCUAGCAGGCUUCGUGCCGGUGACGAAUUCGGGUUUAGAACCUAGCAGGCUAAAUGAUGAUGAUUUGGUAAAAGUCUAAGACUAUGAGACCUUGUGUUAAAUCGACCAUUGAAUUCGUUCAAUACAUUAAGUUGGCCAGGUAUGUGAUAUAUACUUAUGCAUGUUAGAUCGAUUGGAAUUGAAUCAUGAAGGUGAAAUGAGAAGCAUAGGUGAAAAUGCCUAUGUCAUAUAUGUGAGUAAGGGUAAAACCAUCGUAAAUUAUCGAUAAGGGUGGGCUAUGUGCGGAACCAUCUUAUAAUUGCUAAUUUGAACGGUUGUGUGCGAAUCAUUGAGCAUGAUGUAUUGUAUUGAGAUUAUGCUUAAGUGAAAUUAUAGAUGUGAUGAAAUUGAUUGGUGAUAUACAUGUUUAAAUAAUGUGAAUGCAAAGAAUGUGUGAAAGAGUAAAUUUGUAAUAAAUCUGCUUAAGACAGCAGCAGUAACGUGAUUUUGGAAAAUCACCAUAAAUUGUGGGAGUUGAGUUAGAAGCUGAAUAAAUUAUUCAAUUAAAGCUUAAUGAGUCUAGUUUCUUAUAAAAGAAACCGUGUAAGCAGAUAAUGAGAUAUUUGAAGUGGCGUGGGAUAGAGUCAAAUGACUUCGGGGUCCCCUAUUCUGUUUUUAGAAAAUCAUUAUAGUUUCUACAAAAAUAGUUAAUAGAUAAAAUUUAUAUUAUUAGACUCCUUAAUGAGUCUAGUUUCAAAUGAAAUCAACGAGAACAUAUUUUGAAUUCUGUACAAUGAGAAAUUUGAUUCAUAGUGAAGAGUGGUCAGAUUAGUCAAACAGUGAAACAGGGGAAUUUUUAAGAAAAAUCUGGUAUUGAUUGGCCAAACCAAAAAUUCUGAAAAUUUUAUGAAUAGAAGAUAUAUGAGUCUAUUUUCAGGGAAAAUUAACGGCAAUUGAUUUGGAGUUUCAUAGCUCCAGUUAUAAAUAAAUUAGUGACUGUUGCUCAGGAAGACAGCUUGUUGUGAACUUGAGUAUAUGUUGUAAACAUUGAUAAAACAUGUAAAUGAGCUGCUAAUUGUUUUCUUAAGAACUUACUAAGCAUAAAGCUUACCCCCCUUCUUUCCCAUGUUCUCUAAGGUUGCCAGGUUUGCUCGGGUUGGAGUUCGCCGGAGAUGUUAUCACACUGUCGAGCUAACGCUAUGGGUGUAGUGAUUUCAAAUACUUUGAGUCUAUGGCAUGUAUAGGUGUGUAAAUAUUAGAGUAUGUGAUCUGGCUUUAACCAUAUGUGUUGGCUUAUUUUGAUUAUGGGGUUGUAAAUCCAUUUUAAUUAUGCAUGAAUGUGCUAUGGUAUUACGUGAUGAGUUUAUAAUGAUUAAAGUAUGAAUUUUCCAAGUUUUUCUUAAGUUCUCGGUUUAGUCCCAAACCACCCCAGAUGUAUGUUUUGGGUCUCGUGAACCCAUUUAAGGGACACAAUUUUUGUGAAAUGAAAAGUUAAAAAUUGAUCAAAAUUUUAUGGCUCGAUUUUUUUAAUAUAUAGAGUUGAUUGAGUUUAAGUCAGGUGACACCUCGAACCCUGUUCUGGCGAGGGAUACGGACGAGAGGUGUUACAUUUAGUGGUAUCAGAGCUAUGGUUUAGUCGGUUCUCGGACUAACAUAGCAAGUAUAAGAGUCUAGCUAUACAUGCCGUAAGUAAAGCGUGAUAGUGUGAUAUCUCCCGGCUCUUAUAAAUUGUUUUGCUCAGGUAAUGAUGUAUUCCAACCGACCUAUUAUUAAUUGAUCUGAAAAUGCUAUUAAACUGAUUGUAAUAUAUUUGUGAUAUGACGGAAUUGGAAAUGUAUGAAAAGAAGUUUAUGAUAUGUGUGCAUCAGUGUAAAGAUAUGUAUGAGAUUGUAUAAAGUAAAUGGUAAUGAAAGAUCAAAUUGGGUGGAACGCAGGGAAUGAGUAUGAUCGUUCACUAAUGAAUUGACGGAAAAGACCAUGGUUGGACCAUGACAAUACAUGAAAUAUUUAAGCUAGUGUAAGACAUGUCCGGGACAUGCAUCGGCCUCGUAGGUGCAAGGGUAAGACCUGUCUAGGACAGGCAUCGUCACCGAGAUAGAGGAGCUAGUGUAAGACCCGUCUGGGACGUGCAUCGGCUCAACUUGUGCUAAACGUAAGACUUAUCUGGGAUAGGCAUCGGCACGACAAUAGCAGAGCUAGUAUAAGACCAUAGUUGGACUAUGUCAUCAAGUAGGCGGUGUACUCAAAACCAUAAGACGUUCUUCAAUUUGAUAAAUAGUGACAAGUGAUCAAGAUUAGACGUGGAAACUUGAUAAGAAAUUUUUGGUAAUUUGGGUAAAAGAAAUGAAAGUUUGAAUUGUGAUAAAUUCACUUAUGUUUUAUUGACAUUCACAGGAAAUAAAGUUGCAUGUAUUACUGAGAUGUAUGAAAACGUGUUCAUAAUAAGUUGGAAAUUUGAAAUGUUUGAAUCAAUGUGCGUAAUGCUAUGUUGUUUUUGAAUGUGCACUUGCUUGAAAGUCAAAAGUUUAAAGGCUUUACAGUUUUCACCCCUUACUAGAAUAGAGUUAUACGAUGAGAUUCUCGAGAGAUAUAUUGCAUGAGUUUGCAAAAGUGAAAUUAAAGAGUACAAUAGUGUAAUAGUAUGGGAUUAGUGAAAAGAGAAUUAGACGGUUGAGUCAUGAUUGAAUUAUAUUGAUGAUUGAGUGCAGUAGUUAUAGUCGGGCAGUUAUUAUGACUUCUUCAGGGCAUUCUAUGUGUACGUUUAUCUUCAGAAGUAUAUGUGAUGGUUUAAUUUCAGAAGGAAUUUUUGUCAUAAGAGAACAUUAGUUCAGCAUACUAAUAAAAGAAAGUAUCGUUGGUUUGUUUGGGUUAUGUUCGACAUUGCUAUGUCAUUCUUUGGUAUUUAUUUCUAUAUGUGAAUAUGAAAAUAUAUAUAUGUGUGUGUGUGUGAUGCUAAUACUCUAUUUCUACUGAUUAUUGUUCGGUUGAAUAUUCGUGAAGAGUAUAUCGUCUCUGUUAUUAUGGAUUUCAGUAAUUAUGAGUGAUAUUGUUCUUUCUGGACAUUUUCUGGGAUAUUAUCGGAAUUGAUAUCAUUCUAUAUGGGUGGUAAUUUACUGAUAUUCUGUGUAACUGCAGACAUUGAAAUUUUGCUAUAGCGGUUUCUUAUGAUUUCAUGUGAUUAUCUGUAAGAAAUAUUUAUUUGACAGAGUUGAUUAUGUUUAUUAUGAUUAUAAUUUCUGGCUUGAAAGGUGAGAGUAUAGUGGUACCGUUAUCGGAGCUAUAGAAGUUGUGAUUCUGCAUUGGUUGCUGUUUAAACCAUAUUUGAUUCUCUUCUCUGUUCAAAUGUUUCAUUAACAAUCUGGAUAAUAUCUAUUAUAGGGUGGAGACAGUUUUAUUAUAAACUUUUUCCUAGUUAUUGUGAAAGGUUCAACAUCAUUUAAAGUGAAAAUGAUAGAAGAUCAAGAUUAAAUCUGUAUAGUGAUAUUUCGGAGGUUAUCUUUUUAAUAAGAAGAAAGAUGUGAUUUGAGGGAUAGUCUAAAAGAAGAAUCUUAAUUCAUGAAGAUUUGGUACAAACUAUCGGAGCAAUUCUAUGAGAAAAGUUAAAGUUAGUUCGAUUGUUGAAGCUUCUUUUUGCACGAAGGUAUUAUCAACCGAAAUGUCAGUGUAACAGCCCAAUUUUGGGCCUAGUCGGAACAGUGGUUUCGGGACCACUAUUUUGAGGCCAGAGAAAAUUAUUUUAGUAUUAUUUUAUGUGUUAUAAUGUGAUUUUAUAAGUGCAUGUAAAUUUUGGUAAGUUAAUUUUAGCAAUUUCUAGUCCAAUUUUGAAAAAGGACUAAAUCGCGUAAAAGGUAAAAGUUGUGUUUUAAUACCUAAAGGUGUUAAAUUGCCUUUUAUCUUAAAUUGGGGGUCUUUAAAGUGAAAUUAGGCCAUUGAAAGUGUGAUGGCAGGGCCAUGGGAGACAAAAUUGUUGAAAAGUCAAAAUCAGCCCGAUUUUAGGCCUAGUCAGAACAGUGGUUUCGGGACCACUAUUCCGAGGCCAGAGAAAAUUAUUUUAGUAUUAUUUUAUGUGUUAUAAUAUAAUUUUAUAAGUGCAUGUAAAUUUUGGUAAGUUAAUUUUAGCGAUUUCUAGUCCAAUUUCGAAAAAUGGCUAAAUCGCGUAAAAGGUAAAAGUUGUAUUUUGAUGCCUAAAAGUAUUAAAUUGCUUUGUGUAUUAAAUUUGGGGGUAUUUAAAGUGAAAUUAGGCCAUUGAAAGUGUGAUGGCAGGCCAUGGGAGACAAAAAUUGUUGAAAAGUCAAAAUUAGGUGAACUUGGUCACCAAUUUUGACUAGUUUUAUUAUUAAUAAAUCAAAAAGAAAAAGCUAUCAUUUCUCUCUUCUCCUCCACCGAAAAUGGAAGCAAAGAAAGGGGUUUUGAAGCUCUAAAAUAUCAGCCACUUACAUCCCUUGCUAGUAAGUGAUUUUUAAUAUUUUUCUUGAUGAUUUUUACAUUUUUGGAACCCCUAAAGCAUGAGUUGUCAUAAGAGGGGACUAUUUUGCAAAAUGAUUAAGAGUAUAGGGUUUUUCCAUGAGAGUAAAUGUGUUGUUUUCUGUGUUUUUAUGGAAGAUUAUGAGUCCUAGUUGUCUAAUAAACAACUUUUAUGAAAGAUAUUGCAUGAAAACACCUUAAAAAGUGCUAGAUUGCUAAGUUGUAAAAUGAGUUGUAAAUGUGUGAAGUAGUUAAAAUUAUGAGUUGCUAUAGUUAUGAAAAUGGUUCAUCUAGACUCAAGAAGUAAAGAAAUGUGAUAAAAAUUAUUUUACGAGCCUAGGGGUAAUUUGGUAAUUUUGGCAAAAUAUAGGGGAAAAAUUGUAAAAAUUGCCCAAGUGUGUCAAUGGACUAAUUUGAUCAGUACAUUGUUUUAAUAAGUUGAAUGUGAUGUUUUAGAUGAUGAAAAUCGAGAUUUGGACUUAGAACGGAAAGAAAUCGAUUAAGGGAUAAUUACGUCUUUUUCACCUUUGUGGUAUCGAGGUAAGUUUGUAUGUAAACAAUACCAUGCUAUACAUGUAUUUAAAUGUUAUAAUUACAUGAAUUGUACAAAUAUUAAUGUGUAUGUGAUUAAUAGAAAUAUGAUACUACAAAGCCUUAAUAGACGAGGAAAAAUCCCGUUUGAACCUUAGGAAUAGAAUAGGAUACGAGUGACAUGUCACUAGGAAUUAUGAGUCUAGAUGACUAGCUCAAGAGUGAGCAUUGAAAUGUCAUGAGAUAUGAGGUAGCUUUAGCUACAAUUGAGGCACUUAUGUGCAAAGGCUUUUCCGAGUAUCCAAUUAGUAUUCCAAGUGUUCAACGGGUAAUCCAAGGAAAGAGUUGAUGAUGGUCCCAAUGAGGUAAGUCAUUGGUGAGUAUGCACUUGAGUUAUGUUACGAGUUGUGCAACUAUGUAUACUAAGCCUAUGAGAAUGCCUUGAUAUGUGAUGAUCUAUGAUGCAUAAUAUGUGUUCUUACCAUGAUGGAUGAAAUGAUGUUGUAUUAAUUUUGUAAACAAUGAUAAUGAAUGAGUAACUUAGCCUUGACAGAUUUGAGUUACUGCAGUAGUGUAACUUUGAAAAUACACUAAAAAUAGUGGAAAAUGAGUUAGAGGCAAAAUAAAAUAUGAGAUUAAAUUUUAAUGAGUCUAUUUUCACAUGAAAGAAACAGGGGAAGAAAAAGAAUUCUAUAUCGUGUGAUAUUUGAAUUCUUGUGAAAUAGGGUCUGAAUGAAUUCGAGAUCCCCUAUUCUGACUUUAUAAAUUCACCAUAAAUUGUAAAAAAAUUAAGAGUCAUACAUUACAUUCAUGGAUUCCUUAUUGAGGCUAUUUUUAAGGGAAACAAACGUCAUGGUCGUUGGAAUUCUGUACAGGGAGAAAUUCAGUUUGUAGUGCACAUGGGUCAGAGUAGUCAUACCCUGAAACAGUGGAGAAUUUAACUAAUAAACUGUACAAAAUGGCCCAGCCAAAAAUUCUAGAAAGAAAUUAUUAAAUAGACAUAUAAGUCUAGUUUCAAGAGAAAUAGACAAGAACAUUAUUCGAAUCUUGUACAAUGAGAUAAUUGAACUUUAGUGCAGAAGGGUUGAAACUGUCAGACAGUGAAUCAGGAGCAAACUUGAGGAAUAAACUGUACUAAUUGGCUAAGCCAAAAAUUCUGGAAAUUUUUUGGAAGAAAGAUAAAUGAGUCUAGUUUCAGGAAAAAUUUACGGAACUUAAUUCGGAGUUUUGUGGCUCCAGAGAUAAAUAAUUUAGUGACUGUUGCUCAGGAAGACAACUUGUAGUGAACUUGAGAAUAUGUUGUAAACAUUGAUAAAACAAGUUAAUGAGUUGCUUAUUGUUUUCAUAUGAACUUACUAAGCGAAAGCUUACCCAUUCUUCUUUCCCAUGUUUUCUAGAGUUGCUAGGUUAGCUCAGGUUGGAGGCCGUCAGAGAUAUUAUCACCCUGUCGAGUUAACGCUAUCGGCGUAAGUAAACUCAAGUGAUUCGAGUCUAUGGCAUGUAUAGGCUUUUAAUGUGAGUAUGUAAUAUUAUGAUUUAGCCAAAGGCAUUGGCUUGUUAUUAAGGUAGUAUUGUAAUAUUAUGAUUUAGCCAAAGGCAUUGGCUUGUUAUUAAGGUAGUAUUAGUCAUGUAAAUUGGCCUAUGUCGGCUAAUGAUGUUAUGGGCCCAUAUGAUUAUUCUUAUGCAUGUAUGUUAUUAUCUCUUGUGAUGUGGCUUACAACAUGUAUGCCUAGAGAUUGAAUUGAGAUUCAUUGAUGAGCUAAUAACUAAUGCAGGAUUAAGUGAUUGGUAAAUAGUUAAUAAUGCUUCAUGAAUGGUUUGUGGAUAUGAUUAUGCAUGCUUUGUGAUGGACAUGAGGUUUGAUGACAUGUUGAUAGCUAUAGCAUUAAUGUGGUAAAGAUGAAAG